Molecule: ribosomal RNA, 494 nt
Filed under: uncultured bacterium
Lineage: Bacteria
Description: partial 16S ribosomal RNA
Rfam family: Bacterial small subunit ribosomal RNA
Source: RNAcentral
GACGAACGCUGGCGGCGCGCUUAACACAUGCAAGUCGAACGGAAAGGCCUGCUUUCCCUUGUGGAUUGCGGGUACUCGAGUGGCGAACGGGUGAGUAACACGUGAGUGAUCUGCCCCCAACUUGGGUAUAAGCCUGGGAAACUGGGUCUAAUUCCCGAUAGGACUGCAGGGUGGUGUCUGUGGUGGAAAACGAUUUUCUAGUGGUUGGGGAUGAGCUCGCGGCCUAUCAGCUUGUUGGUGGGGUAAUGGCCUACCGAGGCGGCGACGGGUAGCCGGCCUGAGAGGGUGGACGUCCAGAUUGGGACUGGGAUACGGCCCAGACCACUGCGGGAGGCGGCAAUGGGGAAAAUAGUAAAACGGGCGGAAGCAUGAUGGAGGGAGGCGGAGUGGGGGAUGACGGGAUUCAGGUUGUAAACCGCUCGGGAAAGCGAGGAAGACACUUGGUUGGAAGGGUGGUGACGGUAGUGGUAGAAAAAGAACCGGCUAACUACGUG